CGCAGAGAUGGCUUGGUGCUCGAAAGAGAACCGUAACACAGGUGCUGCAUGGCUGUCGUCAGCUCGUGUCGUGAGAUGUUGGGUUAAGUCCCGCAACGAGCGCAACCCUUGUCAUUAGUUGCUACAUUUGGUUGGGCACUCUAAUGAGACUGCCGGUGACAAACCGGAGGAAGGUGGGGAUGACGUCAAGUCCUCAUGGCCCUUAUAGGUAGGGCUACACACGUCAUACAAUGGAUGGUACAGAGGGUCGCCAACCCGCGAGGGGGAGCUAAUCCCAUAAAACCAUUCGUAGUCCGGAUCGCAGUCUGCAACUCGACUGCGUGAAGUCGGAAUCGCUAGUAAUCGCGGAUCAGAAUGUCGCGGUGAAU
RNAcentral lists this ribosomal RNA (368 nucleotides) under uncultured bacterium. RNAcentral's name for it is "bacterial SSU rRNA". It matches the Rfam family "Bacterial small subunit ribosomal RNA", at positions 999 to 1367 of the family's 1533-position model. The record is from RNAcentral.